GUGUGAUGGGCCUACCAAAGUGCUU
RNAcentral lists this non-coding RNA (25 nucleotides) under Rattus norvegicus (Norway rat). Lineage: Eukaryota; Metazoa; Chordata; Mammalia; Rodentia; Muridae. The record is from RNAcentral.